ACACACAGACACACACUCACAGGAGCCGGUUCUAAGACACACACGACCACUCUGCCAACCAGGAAGUGUGUUCCCGUGCUGGUGGAAGGAGGAGGGUCGCUGGGAGGACAGAGGCUCACGCUGAGAGACGGCAGCAGGAGGAUGCAGUCAUGGAGAGAGACGCACCCGGACUCUACCGACAGGAACAGGAUGGAGCACGGAGGCUGACGGCCACGGCCAUUCCCCCGUCUGGAUGAGUUCCCUGCUGCUGU
This 251-nucleotide long non-coding RNA is filed under the name Gadus morhua (Atlantic cod). RNAcentral's name for it is "lncRNA (ENSGMOG00000036597.1)". The record is from RNAcentral. Lineage: Eukaryota; Metazoa; Chordata; Actinopteri; Gadiformes; Gadidae.